Molecule: ribosomal RNA, 371 nt
Filed under: Veillonella parvula
Lineage: Bacteria; Bacillati; Bacillota; Negativicutes; Veillonellales; Veillonellaceae
Description: bacterial SSU rRNA
Rfam family: Bacterial small subunit ribosomal RNA
Source: RNAcentral
GACGAACGCUGGCGGCGUGCAUAACACAUGCAAGUCGAACGAAGAGCGAUGGAAGCUUGCUUCUAUCAAUCUUAGUGGCGAACGGGUGAGUAACGCGUAAUCAACCUGCCCUUCAGAGGGGGACAACAGUUGGAAACGACUGCUAAUACCGCAUACGAUCUAAACUCGGCAUCGAGGAUAGAUGAAAGGUGGCCUCUACAUGUAAGCUAUCACUGAAGGAGGGGAUUGCGUCUGAUUAGCUAGUUGGAGGGGUAACGGCCCACCAAGGCGAUGAUCAGUAGCCGGUCUGAGAGGAUCUACGGCCACAUUGGGACUGAGACACGGCCCAGACUCCUACGGGAGGCAGCAGUGGGGAAUCUUCCGCAAUGGAC